GAUGAACGCUGGCGGCGUGCCUAAUACAUGCAAGUCGAGAGAACGGACGAGAAGCUUGCUUCUCUGAUGUUAGCGGCGGACGGGUGAGUAACACGUGGAUAACCUACCUAUAAGACUGGGAUAACUUCGGGAAACCGUAGCUGAUACCGGAUAAUAUUUUGAACCGCAUGGUUCAAAAGUGAAAGACGGUCUUGCUGUCACUUAUAGAUGGAUCCGCGCUGCAUUAGCUAGUUGGUAAGGUAACGGCUUACCAAGGCAACGAUGCAUAGCCGACCUGAGAGGGUGAUCGGCCACACUGGAACUGAGACACGGUCCAGACUCCUACGGGAGGCAGCAGUAGGGAAUCUUCCGCAAUGGGCGAAAGCCUGACGGAGCAACGCCGCGUGAGUGAUGAAGGUCUUCGGAUCGUAAAACUCUGUUAUUAGGGAAGAACAUAUGUGUAAGUAACUGUGCACAUCUUGACGGUACCUAAUCAGAAAGCCACGGCUAACUACGUG
RNAcentral lists this ribosomal RNA (497 nucleotides) under uncultured bacterium. RNAcentral's name for it is "partial 16S ribosomal RNA". It matches the Rfam family "Bacterial small subunit ribosomal RNA", at positions 28 to 507 of the family's 1533-position model. The record is from RNAcentral.